This is a long non-coding RNA of Myzus persicae (green peach aphid), 801 nucleotides long. RefSeq lists it as uncharacterized. Lineage: Eukaryota; Metazoa; Arthropoda; Insecta; Hemiptera; Aphididae. The record is from RefSeq and is a predicted model, not a curated record. The transcript is spliced from 3 exons.
CUCGUCGCUUCAGUCGUCCCGCGGCCGCUAAUACUACAGCCGGCGACCGACCGGAGCGAUCGCGGGCGCUCGUGUGUGCUUGUGCGUGUGUCCCGUAGUCGUACGUCCGUUUCGUUCCGCGAUAAUUGCAUAGUAUGUUUUGUACACACGCGCGUGCGACACGCGGCAGAUGAUAAUAAUAGCAAUAAUAAUAAUAAUAUCACGAAAUAUUAUAUAAUGCAAUCAUAUUACCACGACGCUAUGUCACGUUCACGCAUUACGUUCCAUUAAGAUAUGACGUAAUUAUCAUCACCGGGCGAAAAUCAACAACAUCAUAAUAUUAUUGUUAUUAUAAUAUUAUAAUAUUGUUUUACGGUCGCGCGCACGCUACCAUAUAAUUUUAUAACAUCAUAUAUUAUACGAUAUACGGCUGUCGUAUGCGACGCGGUCCGACCGCUGCAGCACGCGUCGUAUUACCACCAUCAUCAUGUCCGGUGGUAACCGCGCCGGAGAGUCUCGUCGGUCCGGUGAACGGAGGUAAUAUCGUCGUCCGGUAACCGCCGCCGCCGCCGUCGCCACCGGUCGCCAUCGGCCCACACGUCGUCCGCGGUGAUGGCGUAACCGCGACGCCGCUGCAUCGGACUGCGACUGCACGCCGACUUGCAAUAGGUGCUUAUCGAGGGGCCUGUACAUUGAUAUUGGGGACUCUUCACAUGUUAUAUCAACAUAUACCAUACCAUACCAUACCACAAGAACAUUAAAAAAUAUUUAAAAUAUCAUUUUUUGGAUAGCGAAAGCUGGAAGAUAAUCAAAUAAUAAAAA